GAUGAACGCUGGCGGCGUGCCUAAUACAUGCAAGUCGAGCGAACGGACGAGAAGCUUGCUUCUCUGAUGUUAGCGGCGGACGGGUGAGUAACACGUGGAUAACCUACCUAUAAGACUGGGAUAACUUCGGGAAACCGGAGCUAAUACCGGAUAAUAUUUUGAACCGCAUGGUUCAAAAGUGAAAGACGGUCUUGCUGUCACUUAUAGAUGGAUCCGAGCUGCAUUAGCUAGUUGGUAAGGUAACGGCUUACCAAGGCAACGAUGCAUAGCCGACCUGAGAGGGUGAUCGGCCACACUGGAACUGAGACACGGUCCAGACUCCUACGGGAGGCAGCAGUAGGGAAUCUUCCGCAAAGGGCGAAAGCCUGACGGAGCAACGCCGCGUGAGUGAUGAAGGUCUUCGGAUCGUAAAACUCUGUUAUUAGGGAAGAACAUAUGUGUAAGUAACUGUGCACAUCUUGACGGUACCUAAUCAGAAAGCCACGGCUAACUACGUG
This 497-nucleotide ribosomal RNA is filed under the name uncultured bacterium. RNAcentral's name for it is "partial 16S ribosomal RNA". It matches the Rfam family "Bacterial small subunit ribosomal RNA", at positions 28 to 507 of the family's 1533-position model. The record is from RNAcentral.